GCGGAAGUGGCGAAAUUGGUAGACGCGCACGUUUGAGGGGCGUGUGGAGAGAUCUGUACGGGUUCAAGUCCCGUCUUCCGCA
Molecule: transfer RNA, 82 nt
Filed under: Ignavibacteriales bacterium
Lineage: Bacteria; Pseudomonadati; Ignavibacteriota; Ignavibacteria; Ignavibacteriales
Also listed under: 2 other names
Description: tRNA-Leu
Rfam family: tRNA
About the family: Transfer RNA (tRNA) molecules are approximately 80 nucleotides in length. Their secondary structure includes four short double-helical elements and three loops (D, anti-codon, and T loops).
Source: RNAcentral